Non-coding RNA from Aspergillus melleus, 86 nucleotides. The record is from the annotation of a RefSeq genome assembly. Lineage: Eukaryota; Fungi; Ascomycota; Eurotiomycetes; Eurotiales; Aspergillaceae.
GCCUCUAUAGCUCAGUGGCAGAGCGCUUCACUUGUAGCUAAAACUGCGCCAUGAAGAGGUCGGUGGUUCAAUCCCGCCUGGAGGCA